RNAcentral lists this ribosomal RNA (390 nucleotides) under uncultured bacterium. RNAcentral describes it as "bacterial SSU rRNA". It matches the Rfam family "Bacterial small subunit ribosomal RNA", at positions 29 to 409 of the family's 1533-position model. The record is from RNAcentral.
AAUGAACGCUGGCGGCGCGCCUAAUACAUGCAAGUCGAGCGAGGAGACGUAGCAAUACGUUUGUAAAGCGGCGAACGGGUGAGGAAUACAUGGGUAACCUACCCUCGAGUGGGGAAUAACUAGCCGAAAGGUUAGCUAAUACCGCGUACGCUUCUUGGACUUCGGUUCAGGGAGGAAAGCGAUGCCGAGGGUACCGCGCUCUUGGAUGGGCUCAUGUCCUAUCAGCUUGUUGGUGAGGUAACGGCUCACCAAGGCUUCGACGGGUAGCUGGUCUGAGAGGACGAUCAGCCACACUGGCACUGCGACACGGGCCAGACUCCUACGGGAGGCAGCAGUAAGGAAUAUUGCGCAAUGGGCGAAAGCCUGACGCAGCGACGCCGCGUGGGGGAU